CCUACGGGUGACAGCAGUGAGGAAUAUUGGUCAAUGGGCGGGAGCCUGAACCAGCCAAGCCGCGUGCGGGAAGAAGGUACAGCGUAUCGUAAACCGCUUUUGUCCGGGGACAAAGGCGGGGACUAGUCCCCGGAUGAGAGUACCUGAAGAAAAAGCAUCGGCUAACUCCGUGCCAGCAGCCGCGGUAAUACGGAGGAUGCGAGCGUUAUCCGGAUUUAUUGGGUUUAAAGGGUGCGCAGGCGGCCUGUUAAGUCAGCGGUAAAAGCCCGGGGUUAAACCCGGGAGAGCCGUUGAAACUGGCGGGCUGGAGUGGGAGAGAAGUACGCGGAAUGCGCGGUGUAGCGGUGAAAUGCUUAGAGAUCGCGCAGAACCCCGAUUGCGAAGGCAGCGUACCGGCUCCACACUGACGCUGAGGCACGAAAGCGUGGGUAGCGAACAGGAGUAGAUACCCGGGUAGUC
RNAcentral lists this ribosomal RNA (459 nucleotides) under uncultured bacterium. Its description in RNAcentral is "partial 16S ribosomal RNA". It matches the Rfam family "Bacterial small subunit ribosomal RNA", at positions 338 to 795 of the family's 1533-position model. The record is from RNAcentral.